RNAcentral lists this ribosomal RNA (466 nucleotides) under uncultured bacterium. RNAcentral describes it as "partial 16S ribosomal RNA". It matches the Rfam family "Bacterial small subunit ribosomal RNA", at positions 28 to 507 of the family's 1533-position model. The record is from RNAcentral.
GAUGAACGCUGGCGGCGUGCUUAACACAUGCAAGUCGAACGGAAAGGCUCCUGCUUGCAGGGGUACUCGAGUGGCGAACGGGUGAGUAACACGUGGGUGAUCUGCCCUGCACUUCGGGAUAAGCCUGGGAAACUGGGUCUAAUACCGGAUAGGACCAUCGUUUAGUGUCGGUGGUGGAAAGUUUUUUCGGUGUGGGAUGAGCUCGCGGCCUAUCAGCUUGUUGGUGGGGUAAUGGCCUACCAAGGCGUCGACGGGUAGCCGGCCUGAGAGGGUGUACGGCCACAUUGGGACUGAGAUACGGCCCAGACUCCUACGGGAGGCAGCAGUGGGGAAUAUUGCACAAUGGGCGGAAGCCUGAUGCAGCGACGCCGCGUGGGGGAUGACGGCCUUCGGGUUGUAAACUGCUUUCGCCAGGGACGAAGCGAAAGUGACGGUACCUGGAUAAGAAGCACCGGCUAACUACGUG